CUGAGUACCGGGUCUCUAAGGCCCUUACUCCCACCCUAUGUUUAUCUUCAUCUAUUUGGUUGCCUUGGUGGGGUGUAAACCCCCCUAAGUCUUACAUGGAUUUAGGUGGGUCUCUCCCCCCACCAAAAGGGGACCGCCUUUAAACUCUUGUUAACAGUGUCGUCUGAGAAAUCAAACAAAUAAAUUA
Molecule: unclassified non-coding RNA, 187 nt
Filed under: uncultured Dothideomycetes
Lineage: Eukaryota; Fungi; Ascomycota; Dothideomycetes
Description: sequence contains ITS1
Source: RNAcentral